CUGCCUGCUUUCUCUGAGCUUUGGAGAAUGAUUUCUAUUUCCUGCUCUCUAAUCUUCUGUUUCCAAGUUGUGAGUACAGAGAUCAUGUAUUUACAUGUCUAUAGUUGCUGGAGUGCUUUGAAUUGUAUUCUUUUUGAAUAAGGCUGUUUAUUCAAUAUUCUUUUAAGCAAUUGACCCUGUAUUGAUCACCUUAAUACAGAGAGACCAUUUGUAUGUAUUUUUCUUUCUUUUUUUAUAUAAAGCUUUGCUUUUGAGA
Long non-coding RNA from Gopherus flavomarginatus (Mexican gopher tortoise), 256 nucleotides. RefSeq lists it as uncharacterized. The record is from RefSeq and is a predicted model, not a curated record. NCBI's taxonomy places the organism in Eukaryota, Metazoa, Chordata, Testudines, Testudinidae. The transcript is spliced from 2 exons.